GCCUGGGUAGCUCAGUCGGUUGAGCGUCCGACUUCGGCUCAGGUCAUAAUCUUGCCCUCUGUGAGUUCGAGCCCCGCGUCAGGCU
This 85-nucleotide transfer RNA is filed under the name Felis catus (domestic cat). It matches the Rfam family "tRNA". From Rfam's summary of the family: Transfer RNA (tRNA) molecules are approximately 80 nucleotides in length. Their secondary structure includes four short double-helical elements and three loops (D, anti-codon, and T loops). The record is from Rfam by way of RNAcentral. Lineage: Eukaryota; Metazoa; Chordata; Mammalia; Carnivora; Felidae.